RNAcentral lists this transfer-messenger RNA (406 nucleotides) under bacterium. It matches the Rfam family "transfer-messenger RNA". Rfam says of the family: Bacterial tmRNA, also known as 10Sa RNA or SsrA, is named for its dual tRNA and mRNA-like properties. Its role is to liberate the mRNA from a stalled ribosome. The record is from RNAcentral.
GGGGGUGCCAGCUUCGACAUGAGAAAUGUGUUGUUCGUGGUAAGCAGAGUUCCCGCUACUCUCUAAACUUGCGGGAAAAUUUAAGUGCAGACUCCAUAGUCGCACGGGCAAAGUCAAUUGUUUCUCCGUAUUUUACGGCGAACGACUUUGUUUUCGCCUACGUUCGAGCGUAAGCUCGCUUAAGCGAACGUUCGCUACCCUGCCGUCCGGCACACGGUAGUGGAACGCUUUAUUUGCGGGACUGUAAUUCUAGUGUUGCUCACACUAGAGCCAAACUUAGAGCUUUGAACUUCUUGUGUUUUGUCUGAUUUUUAGCAAGGAGUUCGAGAACCAAAAUCAGUCUAAGCUUGCUAGAUUCGUUCUUCGCAUUCUUAUGCACAGGAGUUCAAUCUCCUCACCUCCACUC